RNAcentral lists this ribosomal RNA (577 nucleotides) under uncultured bacterium. RNAcentral describes it as "partial 16S ribosomal RNA". It matches the Rfam family "Bacterial small subunit ribosomal RNA", at positions 355 to 940 of the family's 1533-position model. The record is from RNAcentral.
UGGGGAAUAUUGCACAAUGGGCGAAAGCCUGAUGCAGCAACGCCGCGUGAGUGAUGAAGGCCUUCGGGUUGUAAAGCUCUGUCUUUUGGGACGAUAAUGACGGUACCAAAGGAGGAAGCCACGGCUAACUACGUGCCAGCAGCCGCGGUAAUACGUAGGUGGCAAGCGUUGUCCGGAUUUACUGGGCGUAAAGGAUGCGUAGGCGGAUUUUUAAGUGAGAUGUGAAAACCCUAAGCUUAACUUGGGGACUGCAUUUCAUACUGGAAAUCUAGAGUGCGGGAGAGGAGAAUGGAAUUCCUAGUGUAGCGGUGAAAAUGCGUAGAGAUUAGGAAGAACACCAGUGGCGAAGGCGAUUCUCUGGACGUAACUGACGCUGAGGCAUGAAAAGCGUGGGUAGCAAAACAGGAUUAGAUACCCUGGUAGUCCACGCCGUAAAACGAUGAGUACUAGGUGUAGGAGGUAUCGACCCCUUCUGUGCCGCAGUUAAACACAAAUAAGUACUCCGCCUGGGGAAGUACGAUCGCAAAGAUUAAAAAACUCAAAAGGAAAUUGACGGGGGUCAAUAGCUGUUUUUCCU